RNAcentral lists this ribosomal RNA (293 nucleotides) under uncultured bacterium. RNAcentral describes it as "partial 16S ribosomal RNA". It matches the Rfam family "Bacterial small subunit ribosomal RNA", at positions 505 to 796 of the family's 1533-position model. The record is from RNAcentral.
GUGCCAGCAGCCGCGGUAACACGUAGGGGGCGAGCGUUGUCCGGAAUCAUUGGGCGUAAAGAGCUCGUAGGCGGCUCGGUAAGUCGGGUGUGAAACCCCCAGGCUCAACCUGGGGACGCCACCCGAUACUGCUGUGGCUAGAGUCCAGUAGGGGAGUGUGGAAUUCCCGGUGUAGCGGUGAAAUGCGCAGAUAUCGGGAGGAACACCAGCGGCGAAGGCGGCACUCUGGGCUGGAACUGACGCUGAGGAGCGAAAGCGUGGGUAGCAAACAGGAUUAGAUACCCCCGUAGUCC